AGAGUUUGAUCAUGGCUCAGGACUAACGCUGGCGGCGUGCCUAACACAUGCAAGUCGAACGAGGUAGCAAUACCUAGUGGCAGACGGGUGAGUAACACGUGGUCAACCUUCCGUACAGUGGGGGAUAACUAGCCGAAAGGUUAGCUAAUACCGCAUGACAUCUACGAGCGGCAUCGCUUGUAGCUAAAAGGAGCAAAUCC
This 200-nucleotide ribosomal RNA is filed under the name uncultured bacterium. RNAcentral's name for it is "partial 16S ribosomal RNA". It matches the Rfam family "Bacterial small subunit ribosomal RNA", at positions 8 to 216 of the family's 1533-position model. The record is from RNAcentral.